AGUGAACGCUGGCGGUAGGCCUAACACAUGCAAGUCGAGCGCAGGAAAUCGACGGAACCCUUCGGGGGGAAGUCGACGGAAUGAGCGGCGGACGGGUGAGUAACACGUAAAGAACCUGCCCUCAGGUCUGGGAUAACCACAAGAAAUCGGGACUAAUACCGGAUGGGUCAUCGGACCGCAUGGUCCGAGGAUGAAAGGCGCUUCGGCGUCGCCUGGGGAUGGCUUUGCGGUGCAUUAGCUAGUUGGUGGGGUAAUGGCCCACCAAGGCGACGAUGCAUAGCCGACCUGAGAGGGUGAUCGGCCACACUGGGACUGAGACACGGCCCAGACUCCUACGGGAGGCAGCAGUAGGGAAUCUUCCACAAUGGACGAGAGUCUGAUGGAGCAACGCCGCGUGGACGAUGAAGGCCUUCGGGUCGUAAAGUUCUGUUGUAAGGGAAGAACAAGUGCCGCAGGCAAUGGCGGCACCUUGACGGUACCUUGCGAGAAAGCCACGGCUAACUACGUGCCAGCCGCCGCCGUAA
This 524-nucleotide ribosomal RNA is filed under the name uncultured bacterium. RNAcentral describes it as "partial 16S ribosomal RNA". It matches the Rfam family "Bacterial small subunit ribosomal RNA", at positions 29 to 523 of the family's 1533-position model. The record is from RNAcentral.